GGGACACGUGGUAUCCUGUCUGAAUAUGGGGGGACCAUCCUCCAAGGCUAAAUACUCCUGACUGACCGAUAGUGAACCAGUACCGUGAGGGAAAGGCGAAAAGAACCCCGGCGAGGGGAGUGAAAAAGAACCUGAAACCGUGUACGUACAAGCAGUGGGAGCCUCUUAAUGGGGUGACUGCGUACCUUUUGUAUAAUGGGUCAGCGACUUAUAUUCUGUAGCAAGGUUAACCGAAUAGGGGAGCCGAAGGGAAACCGAGUCUUAACUGGGCGUUAAGUUGCAGGGUAUAGACCCGAAACCCGGUGAUCUAGCCAUGGGCAGGUUGAAGGUUGGGUAACACUAACUGGAGGACCGAACCGACUAAUGUUGAAAAAUUAGCGGAUGACUUGUGGCUGGGGGUGAAAGGCCAAUCAAACCGGGAGAUAGCUGGUUCUCCCCGAAAGCUAUUUAGGUAGCGCCUCGUGAAUUCAUCUCCGGGGGUAGAGCACUGUUUCGGCAAGGGGGUCAUCCCGACUUACCAACCCGAUGCAAACUGCGAAUACCGGAGAAUGUUAUCACGGGAGACACACGGCGGGUGCUAACGUCCGUCGUGAAGAGGGAAACAACCCAGACCGCCAGCUAAGGUCCCAAAGUCAUGGUUAAGUGGGAAACGAUGUGGGAAGGCCCAGACAGCCAGGAUGUUGGCUUAGAAGCAGCCAUCAUUUAAAGAAAGCGUAAUAGCUCACUGGUCGAGUCGGCCUGCGCGGAAGAUGUAACGGGGCUAAACCAUGCACCGAAGCUGCGGCAGCGACACUAUGUGUUGUUGGGUAGGGGAGCGUUCUGUAAGCCUGUGAAGGUGGCCUGUGAGGGUUGCUGGAGGUAUCAGAAGUGCGAAUGCUGACAUAAGUAACGAUAAAGCGGGUGAAAAGCCCGCUCGCCGGAAGACCAAGGGUUCCUGUCCAACGUUAAUCGGGGCAGGGUGAGUCGACCCCUAAGGCGAGGCCGAAAGGCGUAGUCGAUGGGAAACAGGUUAAUAUUCCUGUACUUGGUGUUACUGCGAAGGGG
This 1044-nucleotide ribosomal RNA is filed under the name Escherichia coli. RNAcentral's name for it is "partial 23S ribosomal RNA". It matches the Rfam family "Bacterial large subunit ribosomal RNA", at positions 419 to 1469 of the family's 2925-position model. Lineage: Bacteria; Pseudomonadati; Pseudomonadota; Gammaproteobacteria; Enterobacterales; Enterobacteriaceae. The record is from RNAcentral.